This is a long non-coding RNA of Myotis daubentonii (Daubenton's bat), 2300 nucleotides long. RefSeq lists it as uncharacterized. The transcript has 2 exons. The record is from RefSeq and is a predicted model, not a curated record. Lineage: Eukaryota; Metazoa; Chordata; Mammalia; Chiroptera; Vespertilionidae.
CUAGAAAAGAAUUUGAAAAUGUAGGCUUUUCAUAUCUCAUUGGUUUCUAAGUAGCUGUGCACACGGGAGCUGCUGUCUUCAUUGGCCCUAUGAUUAACUGGCGCUCUCCACCACCUCUGUCAGCACAGAACAGCCCAGGCCUGAGCCCCACUGGUGGAGUAGAGUGUCCGCUAAGAGUUAUUGGAUUUUUUUCCCCAAAGCUUUUAGGCAAGUAGUUCUUAUUACUGUCAUUAUGUAAUUUCAUAAAAAUUACAUAAACGGAUGAAAAUUGAUUUCAGAAAGAAUCUACACUAAUAAAAGAGAAAGAUGCAAAUUGACCAUACCUUCAUGACACCCACCAGCCAAUCAGGAGUGAGUAUGCAAAUUAACCCAACAAAGAUGGCAGGUUAAUUUGCAUACGCAGGCACAGAGCGGCUGGGGGAGGGGCGGGACACGUAUGUCGUCGCCAUGGCGACAACACAGGCAUUCCAUUCCGCCCUACCCCAGCCGCUCAGGGCCUCUGGGCAGCAUAGGAAGGCGGAAAGGCGGCUCCAGGCCGAAGCGAAGGUGGUGCCAGCAGCCAGGAGAAGGAAGGCCCAUUCUUGCAUGAAUCUUCAUGCAUUGGGCCUCUAGUUCUAUUUUUAUAAAACCUAAGUUGAAUGCUGACACAGAAGUGUGGCUAAAAAACUUGCCAUUAAGUUUUGUGUGGGUGGGUAAGCUUUAUAAGAGAUUGGGAGGAAUUUAAAAAUCUGGGAAGCUUUUGCACUUAAAUUGCCUUGCUAGUUUUUUGCAUUCUUGCUUCACUUUAAAAAAAAACCAAAACUGGAAAUUAUGUAAAUUUCAGGCAUACAUUAAGGAUAUGAUUUAUAAAAGAAAGCUCUAGUUGGUGGGCUCAUAAGAUCUGUUCAGCUCUAUUUCAGAAGAUUGGCAAAUGAACACAUUUGUGUUCUUAAAUCAAAAUAAAGUAUCUAAAAUAUUUGUGUAUACACAGUCCACACAUUAUUCUGCCUUAUCCCUGAUUCACCCUGUUCAUUAUUGGUUCUGAAAUCCUGGAAUGAGAGGGCUUUUACUGUAUAUGGCUUAACUUGUGUUAUGUUGUACAGCCCCUGGCCAGAGGCCAGGGGAGAUCCCCUUUUCUUUAGCAGACCCUAAAGCAACUAGUUUCUGUUUGUGUUUAAAGAAGGUAGUAAUGUAAUCAAAACUCCAGUACACAGAAGUUAGUCAAAAGGGUUUUGUUAAUCCUCACCCGAGGACAUUUUUUCCAUUGCUUUUCAGAGAGAGUGGGAGGGAAGGAUGGAGAGAGGGGGAGAAAGAGAGAGGAGAGAGAAGGAGAGUAAUAUCUGUGUGAGAGAGACACAUUGAUUCGUUGCUUCCUGCGUGCUCCCUGACUGGGGCCGGGGAUCAAACCUGCAACCCAGCCCUGCCGGUGUUUCUCAGUGGUUGAGCGUCGACCUAUGAACUAGGAGGUCACAGUUCGAUUCCUGGUUAGGGCACAUGCCCAGGUUGUGGGUUCAGUCCCCAGUAGGGGACAUGCAAGGAGGCAGCCAAUCAAUGAUUCUCUCUCAUCAUUGAUGUUUCUGUCUGUCUCUCUCUCUCCCUUUCUCUCUGAAAUCAAUAAUAAAAACAAGCAAAAAAAAACACCCUGUAACCCAGGUAUGUGUCCUGGACCAGGCAUUGAACCUAUGACCCUUAGGUAUGCAGGCUUACAGUCUAACCACUGAGCAACACCAGCCAGAGCCAAAAAGGGCUUUUCAACAAAGUCUCUUCAGGCUAUUAAGUAAAUGAUUAGAUGUAACCUGGUUUCCCAGCUUUGGUCUGAUAAGGUUUCAUUUGAAGAAAUCCCCCUUCUUAGGAAUGGUGGACAAAGAAAUUUGUCCAUGGUCAAAUUCCAUGGGCAAGGCUGGAUCACUGCUCGUCAGGUGAUUGACAGUGAUAACAUCUAAUUAGAAUUUUUUUUCUGGGCAACAAGGCUUUAUCUGUUUUCCAAUAGAAAUACUCAUAGUCCUUGUUUUGCAUGGUUCUGAUAUCCAUGCACUUCAGUUACCCUGGUUUAGUUAAUACCACCAGUCCCUCAGUGACACUGAGUAUAUUAUUGAGAAUAAUUGCAUAAGGUGCUGCCAGCUCUUUAGUCCACAAGUCACUACAUAAUAACAGAUGCCCAUCAUGACCGGUGCCCAGCCACUUCUUUCAGUCUUGGUUAUCGGUCACUGUGCUUCUGUUACUCAUUUUCCAUAGACACAGCAAGGUGUGUGCCUUUGCUGCUCCCUUGUUCCUCAGUGAUAAACCCACAUGACACUUACAAAAUGGGUAAUUGAAAUAGG